Molecule: long non-coding RNA, 2206 nt
Organism: Sarcophilus harrisii (Tasmanian devil)
Lineage: Eukaryota; Metazoa; Chordata; Mammalia; Dasyuromorphia; Dasyuridae
Source: Ensembl
UCCUGCGUGGGAGCGGCCCGGCCCCGGAUGCGGCCCCGGCCAGCGGGCUCCGUUCCUCUGGCCCGCUCCCCCCCACGCGCGUCCUUCCCCACCUCCGAGGGGUCCGUCGCUUCCUCCCUGACGCAACCGCUCCUGAAGAGGGCUGGGACCCCCGCCCGCGUGUGCGCAGUGGGCGCUCUCCGUUCUCGCCCCCGGCUCCGUCCGUUUGUAAAGGAUGGAGGCCGGUGGGAGAAGCCGGGAGUGGGCAGGCAGGCGGACCCGGAGGGAAGACUUCCAAGCUGUCAGCAGCCCUCCCAUCCCCGCCCUGGAACACCCACCCACCUAGUCUUCGCUCCGAUCCCCGCGGGCUGGGAAAGAGGAGGAGGAGGCUCUCUUCUCCCGGAUACUUGGCAGCCCCGAGGAGAACAAGGUCCGUCCCUGGUCCCUUAAGGUUUCGCAAACUUCCCACACCGUCCUGGCACAUAGAAAAGGCACGGGGAAAAAGUGAAAAAAAGUUAUUUUUAAAAGGAAAUCGGCUCGGCCGCCGCACACCUGCUCAGCAUCCGAAGCGCUGCCGCCGGCUGGCGUGGCCCCCCCGGGCUGCAAAACUCCAGCCCCGGAGCCCUCCGCCCGCCCCUGCGCGCCGGGACGGCUGAAAGAGAGCCCGGCUGCCCGGGCAAAGUGCGAAGGGGCUUCGGCAGGCGAGGCACCCUCGUGCUCUCCAGCGGGAAAGGAGGAAAAAGGAAGCAAAAAUGAGGGAGGCAUCUCCGGGAUGUGGUGCGAAGGUUUUCCAAGAGGGAGCGAAGGCGCCACCCCCGGACGCGCGCGCCCCCUCCCUCCCCUUAUUUUUGUUGACAGCAAAGGUUGAGGGUGGGGGUGGGAGGGGAAAGAAAUGAAAUAGUUAUCCCUAGGUUUGGGAUGUUGUUCUCCGAGGGGUGGAGAGGUGGGUAGCUGAAAUGGAAACAGCCUUCUCCUCCCUUCCCUCCCCCCUCUUCCCCUCCUCCUCCUCCUCCUCCUCCUCCUCUUCUGUUUACCUCAAGUUUGAAUUUUAUCUGCGCAACAUUAGCUGGAAUGCGGACAUUGAAGAAAAAAAAAAAGCCACCACUUUCUGAACCCAGCAGCAGCUCCGGAGGAGCCAUGUGGCAUCAAGCCACCUAACUGGGGGGAUGGGGGGCACCAAAGUCUUCUUAGCCACCCAAACAUGGCGAAAUCACCUCGAAAUCCCUCUCGGAUGCCACCAAUCCCACCUUCCCUCUCCCGGCUUCCCCAAAUCGGCUCCUGGGGCUGCGGGACCCCUCUGGGGAAAAGGAGGGGAAAACCGAGGGGCGCUGAAGAAUGGGAAGGGGCAGAGGGGGGAGGAGGGCAGCACAAGCCAGAGGAGGGGAAAGUGUUACCCAUGUACAUCCCCCCCCCAAAAAAAAAAUCCACCCGAGAAACCGAGCCUAAAAGAUGCCUUUUCCCGACAUCAUCUUCUCUUUUUCUUUAAAUUACAUGGCAAGUCUCCUUAAAGCGAAGGAAAGAAAAUUCUUCUCCCAAAGUCCUGUUGGACCAGCUUUGCCUCCUAUAAAUAACUUACCUUCGGGUAACUGACACGCUGCUAAAAAUCCUUCUGUUUUCUUCCAUGUGAGCGAAGUGCAAACGGGGGAAAAAAACAGAUGCGCAUGUAUCGCGGCGGCUCCUCUUCUAGAAUUUCCCCUUUUUGACUAUCGCGACUUUGGAGACAGCCCUGGGCUCCCCGAAUGCUCUCCGCUCCACAAUGUUGUUUCAUUAUAUCAUGUCCAUCAUGUGACACCGGAGAGGCCUCUCUAUGGAAACUUAAAGGGGACUCCCACGUGACUCUGCAGCAGCAGCAAGCAGCAGCAGCAGCAUCAACAACAGCAGCGGCAGGACCGGCGGCGGCAACAGCGCGGGUCUCAGCACCACCCACCAAGCCCACCUCGCAGCAUCCUCGAGGGGCUCCCGGGGCUGCGGGAGAAAAAGCCAGGGCGCACCAACAAUUAGGGACCAGUCUCCUCUCUUUCUCUCUCUCUUUUAAAGAGUGCCUUAUUACACUAAACAGAAGAGCCGUGCUUCCUUAAAUCCUUCCGACAUUCACAAAACCCACACGCUGUUAGAAAUGACAUCUCAGUAUUUCCUAUUUUAUGUUUCCCUGGCCGUAAUGAGUUCCCCAACAGAUAUGAGUCAUUUCAAAAGGCUGAAAAAUAAAAAAAAUUAAAUAAGACAAAAA